GGGGGUGACCGGCUUUUGACGGGAGGAUUAGGAGAGGAAAAGUUGCGAUUUCGGGGUUUGAUUUCUAUCCCCGAUAGAUCCAUAGAAAUCACCAUAAGUGCAACUGCACAAAACCCUGCUCGCUCUGGUAAAAUCGCAGGACUUGUAAACAAUGCCUUUGGCAACCUGUUUGCACCAAAAGCCCUCGCUUUUGCGUAAGAGUUUGAGCAUGUGACCGCCCACAUAUGCGGUUCCGUCUUUCUUAAACCCGCUUAGGGGGCUAAGAACAGGCGUCAUUAAAUCUAAGACGAAUUUUUCUUGUUUGUGAUGUUUUUGGAGAAACGUUCGUACCACAAAAAUAUUCCGCCUGCUAAGUUUUUGUUCUGUUUUUAUUUAGUGGCGGUAAACAAAUGGAACUAUAAUUGUAGACGCUUUUCGUUUCCCCUUACCGGACGGGGGUUCAAUUCCCCCCACCUCCACCA
RNAcentral lists this transfer-messenger RNA (461 nucleotides) under Patescibacteria group. RNAcentral's name for it is "GCA-016699755 sp016699755 Standard tmRNA". It matches the Rfam family "transfer-messenger RNA". From Rfam's summary of the family: Bacterial tmRNA, also known as 10Sa RNA or SsrA, is named for its dual tRNA and mRNA-like properties. The record is from RNAcentral. RNAcentral also lists the same sequence under 1 other name.